RNAcentral lists this long non-coding RNA (2250 nucleotides) under Canis lupus familiaris (dog). Its description in RNAcentral is "lncRNA (ENSCAFG00040014530.1)". Lineage: Eukaryota; Metazoa; Chordata; Mammalia; Carnivora; Canidae. The record is from RNAcentral.
UUUAAUGCCUAUCAGUGUCUACCACUGGAGCUUUACUGUAGUACCUGGUAUUUUGUCACCCUACUUAUUAAAUUUUGCUUUCCUUUCCUAGCAAUCACCUCUUUGUUUGCAGGUCCACCCCAAACCCUUCCUACAAGAUCUUUUUUGAUCUGUAAAGCCUCCUCCAAACAGAGCUCUUUGUCUGAAGACACCGAUCUUUUCAAAGCUCUAAUUACUUCUGGAGGCCCCUUGGUGAACUGCCUUAGCCACGCCUGUGCCUCUUGCAGACAGUCGGCCUUGUCGGAGGAGCGCAGGACCUCUUCCACCAUCCCCAUGCUCAGGGCUUUCACCGCAUUCAGGUGGACGGCUCCACUUAGCACCUUGAGGGCCUGCCUGGCGCCCAGGAUCUCCACCAGGACAAUAAAGAUGCUGCAAGCAAGAUGGCACCCGGUGAAAGAGCCUGAGCAUGUGCACAUGUGAACCAUACAGAUAACUGAUAGAUGCAUGCAUACAAAACCUGAAACCGUGAGUAGAGUCUCAGAACUUAACUAUCAAGAAGAUGGUGUACAUAAAGCUAUGGCUCCAGAUUUGAUGGACUGUAUUGCUGAGCCACAUAGGCACAUAGCUCAAAAAGAUACUGAUUGAUGGUCAAAUCAUGCUUCUCAAAAAAUAAAUAUAUAAAGAAGGGAUAGAACAUGUCUAGCCAAUAAUGCAUGUUUUAGUCCUGUCCCCAGGGACAAGGCUUAUAAAAUAUUUCUAUAAAAUAUUAAGUUUGCACAUUUAUGAUCUAACACCAAAAAUAUCUUUUCUCUCCCUUUCUUUCAGAGAGUAAUUUAAGUAAUUCAUCUAAAGUUGCAGAGCAAGGGGGAAUGAAUGCCAAGGACUAUUAUUUGUUAGAGGUAUGUUUUCUACUAAAUUUAGAUACCUUGUUUAAAAUGAGUUUUCUUUUACUAUGUACAGAGUGUGUCUCUUUUUCUCUUUAUUUUUAUAUCGUUUCUUAAACCAUUAAAAAAUCAGUGGUCAGUGACUAAAAUAGAUGUGUUUCUGACCAUUGAGAAAAUCAUAUGUUCAUAUGUUCUGGUGGUGGUUAUUUGGUAUUUUUAUAAUAAUAGAAGGUUAUUUUUUUUUUUUUUUUUUCAGGAAAGAAUCCUGCAGAGCUCUGACUGAAGAGGACAUUCUAAAACAGCAGUUUUGGGCAGCCCGGGUGGCUCAGUAGUUUAGCGCCACCUUCAGUCCAAGGCGUGAUCCUGGACACCUGGGAUCCAGUCCCACAUCAGGCUCCCUGCAUGGAGCCUGCUUCUCCCUUUGCCGGUGUCUCUGCCUCUCUCUCUCUCUCUCUCUCUCUCUCUGAAUAAAUAAAUAAAAUCUUAAAAAAACACAGCAGUUUGAAACAUCUGUUCAAGAAUUUAAUAGCCCCUUUACAUGCACUAGCAUUUUGAGCUAAAGCUAGAAUAUAAGUCAUAAAGGCCUUCUCCUGCCUCCAAUUUAAAUGAAGGUGAAACCAAGAGUGCCCUUGGAUUCAUUCAACAUCCUUCCCCUGUGUGUUGCACACUUGAAAUAUCCCUUCUUCACUUGCCAUUUCACAUGCAUUACUAUUAUGGUCGGCAACCAAAACCAUCACCAUCAUACUUCAAUAAUAAAUAAAUUUAUAAAAACUAAUGCCUGGUCCUAAGUACCAUCUCCCCUUUGACUUUAAAAAAAAUCUUUAUUUAAUUAAUUUGGCGUGAGACUGAUGAUCCUAAUGUGUAGUCCAGGAAGUAAUCUUUUUUAAUGCUGUAUGUAUUGUUUUUUUUUUGGAAAGUACAAUUAAUAUACAAUAUUAUAUUAGUGUCAGAUAUACAACAUUGAUUCAAUAAUUCUAUACUUAGUCCUUAUCAUGACAAGUAUAGUCACCAUCUGUCACCAAACGUUACUAAAAUAUUAUUGACCAAAUUCCCUAUGUUGUACCCUUCAUCUAUGUGGCUUAUUUUUUCCAUAACUGGAAGUUUGGACCUCAUAAUCCCCUUUAUCUAUUUUACCCAUUCCCUACCCACUUUCACUCUGGCAACCAUUUCUUUUGUCUCUAUAUUUAAGAGUCUUUUUGUUUGUUUGUUUGUUAAAGUUAGAUAUGAAUGCAAGUAGAGAAAAAUUAGAUUAUCAAUAACCAACUAUAGAGGAACAAAAUAUCUAAACAUCUAGAAUAAUAAUAGAAAAUGUUAAGAUUUUUAGACUCUCUGUACUUGGCUAUAGAUAAUCUAACUUUGCUCCACUCCCAUUUAUCCCAACUUCAAC